CUUCAAGAAAGGAAAUUGCCUCCAAGGAAGAACAAAAAGAAACCAAUGCCUCUCCAAAGGCUAUCACGAGGCUAGAUUGCUAACCCUCGUUAGCAAACAAGAGACCAGGAAUGUGCUGGAGAAUAGGAGCAGAAGAUGGCAACCAGGACACCAGAAACUUGAUGUUCCGCUUUGGGAGAACUCAUACGUGGCACCAUUCCUAUAAAAUGAGGAAAAUAGCUUUGAAGAUGAUGAUCUACUUCCAUCAUGAACAUUCUACCAAGCUUUCAGAAGGAAUGGUACCAGCUCCUCCUUGUACCUCUGGUAGAAUUCGGCUGUGAAUCCAUCUG
Long non-coding RNA from Pan troglodytes (chimpanzee), 329 nucleotides. RefSeq lists it as uncharacterized. The record is from RefSeq and is a predicted model, not a curated record. The transcript is spliced from 4 exons. Lineage: Eukaryota; Metazoa; Chordata; Mammalia; Primates; Hominidae.